GUAAAAAGCGAAAGAUUGCAUUUGAUUUCGGAUCAAACUUUGAAGAUAUUUUUUCUUUACAUUA
Molecule: transfer RNA, 64 nt
Filed under: Pygmaeconus traillii
Lineage: Eukaryota; Metazoa; Mollusca; Gastropoda; Neogastropoda; Conidae
Description: tRNA-Arg
Source: RNAcentral